RNAcentral lists this ribosomal RNA (496 nucleotides) under uncultured bacterium. RNAcentral describes it as "partial 16S ribosomal RNA". It matches the Rfam family "Bacterial small subunit ribosomal RNA", at positions 29 to 507 of the family's 1533-position model. The record is from RNAcentral.
ACGAACGCUGGCGGCGUGCCUAAUACAUGCAAGUUGAGCGCUGAAGGUUGGUACUUGUACCGACUGGAUGAGCAGCGAACGGGUGAGUAACGCGUGGGGAAUCUGCCUUUGAGCGGGGGACAACAUUUGGAAACGAAUGCUAAUACCGCAUAAAAACUUUAAACACAAGUUUUAAGUUUGAAGGAUGCAAUUGCAUCACUCAAAGAUGAUCCCGCGUUGUAUUAGCUAGUUGGUGAGGUAAAGGCUCACCAAGGCGAUGAUACAUAGCCGACCUGAGAGGGUGAUCGGCCACAUUGGGACUGAGACACGGCCCAAACUCCUACGGGAGGCAGCAGUAGGGAAUCUUCGGCAAUGGACGAAAGUCUGACCGAGCAACGCCGCGUGAGUGAAGAAGGUUUUCGGAUCGUAAAACUCUGUUGGUAGAGAAGAACGUUGGUGAGAGUGGAAAGCUCAUCAAGUGACGGUAACUACCCAGAAAGGGACGGCUAACUACGUG